AGUGAACGCUGGCGGUAGGCCUAACACAUGCAAGUCGAACGGCAGCACAGUAAGAGCUUGCUCUUACGGGUGGCGAGUGGCGGACGGGUGAGGAAUACAUCGGAAUCUACUUUUUCGUGGGGGAUAACGUAGGGAAGCUUACGCUAAUACCGCAUACGACCUACGGGUGAAAGCAGGGGAUCUUCGGACCUUGCGCGAUUGAAUGAGCCGAUGUCGGAUUAGCUAGUUGACGGGGUAAAGGCCCACCAAGGCGACGAUCCGUAGCUGGUCUGAGAGGAUGAUCAGCCACACUGGAACUGAGACACGGUCCAGACUCCUACGGGAGGCAGCAGUGGGGAAUAUUGGACAAUGGGCGCAAGCCUGAUCCAGCCAUACCGCGUGGGUGAAGAAGGCCUUCGGGUUGUAAAGCCCUUUUGUUGGGAAAGAAAAGCAGCAGGUUAAUACCCCGCUGUUCUGACGGUACCCAAAGAAUAAGCACCGGCUAACUUCGUG
Molecule: ribosomal RNA, 492 nt
Filed under: uncultured bacterium
Lineage: Bacteria
Description: partial 16S ribosomal RNA
Rfam family: Bacterial small subunit ribosomal RNA
Source: RNAcentral